ACAAACCUCGGCUUUCUCUUGAUCAAAGUUUGUUAAAGUAAAAUUGCUUCUCGAUCGCAGUCAGCCCUUUCCGCAGUUCAGUCUUCUGUCAUUGUAGCUGCAGACUGAUUGGAAAGGCUUUGAAUAUUUCUCUCUCAGCAUGAUGAAAUUACCAGGCAUGGAGGACGCCGCUAUAACGGUCCCCUCUGAAGUGGCUCAUAGAGCUGAAAAUAUCUUUGGAACAGCAAAGGAAUAAACCCAGAUCGAACAUGAGAGAAGAUGUGAAGAUAGAAAACAUGAGAGAAAAAUACCCAAAUUAUUUUAUUUGGGGAACCUCAGCUGACUCAGCCGUUUAACCAGCUGCUGUAUCAAACCACUCAGGACCAUGAUGACGUUGGUGGUCGCCAGAGGACUUUGAGACAUCCAACGAAUAGGG
Long non-coding RNA from Cyprinus carpio carpio, 415 nucleotides. The record is from Ensembl. NCBI's taxonomy places the organism in Eukaryota, Metazoa, Chordata, Actinopteri, Cypriniformes, Cyprinidae.